This 505-nucleotide long non-coding RNA is filed under the name Bos taurus (domestic cattle). RNAcentral describes it as "long non-coding RNA NONBTAT006691". The record is from RNAcentral. Lineage: Eukaryota; Metazoa; Chordata; Mammalia; Artiodactyla; Bovidae.
UUCUCUACUGUUAAAAAAAGACUCUAUUAUCAUUUGGCAAAGUUAGAAAAUAACCAAUUAUAAUUACAAAGAUAAUUUAUUCAUUUUGGAAAAAAACUAAUUGAGUCCCCUUAGUUGAAAUACAACUAUCUGUCUAGAUUUUUGAUCCCCACACACCCUCCAAAAGAGUGAGAGAAAAUUUUCACAUUGCAUUUGGUGAUGACUUUUUUAAUGUUGCAAAAUGUAAUUUGUGUAUAAGUAAACAAGAAUGAUGGCAUCACCAGUAUUACACAUGUUGUUUUCAUUAACUGUAUAAUAAGGGAAGCAUUAAAAUUAUCAAAGUACUGAGUGGCCCAUGGUCUUUCAAACCAUAUUUUUAUGGUCUGAAUGCUGAGAGUAAUUUGAAUGAAUGAUGAAAGCAGUCAGUGAAGCAGAGUGACCAUACUGACCUCUGUGGGAGGACUCAGAAGGACACGUGUAUAACAAUUUGCUCUCAAAACUACUAGCUGCUCAAAAACCUCCAACU